AAAACUAUGUUUUCAGGGAUCAGUUCUACAGUUCAUUAGCAGAGAAGUUUCUCUGUGUAGAGGACCAUGAGCCACGAGGAGGAGGCGCAGUGCUCUCUCCUCAGCGCGAAGCCUGCUCUUGGUGCUGCUUUGCUGCAACUGCCACUUGCCAUUGAUGAUCGUUCCUGCUCGUCUUCAGGGGAGCUGGAGGGAGAGGACCACUCUGAGUGAA
Molecule: small nucleolar RNA, 211 nt
Organism: Jaculus jaculus (lesser Egyptian jerboa)
Lineage: Eukaryota; Metazoa; Chordata; Mammalia; Rodentia; Dipodidae
Gene: U3
Rfam family: Small nucleolar RNA U3
About the family: Small nucleolar RNAs (snoRNAs) are involved in the processing and modification of rRNA in the nucleolus. There are two main classes of snoRNAs: the box C/D class, and the box H/ACA class. U3 snoRNA is a member of the box C/D class.
Source: Ensembl